Non-coding RNA from Doryrhamphus excisus (bluestripe pipefish), 6368 nucleotides. Lineage: Eukaryota; Metazoa; Chordata; Actinopteri; Syngnathiformes; Syngnathidae. The record is from RefSeq and is a predicted model, not a curated record.
AUAAGCUUCUUUCCCAGUAUCUCACUGGACUUGCAGAAGAGGGCCCUGUCUUUACGUGGUGUUUGACUUUUGCUGUACAUGGUGGAUGCUCACGAGAACAUUUUGUGCAGAAUGUACUAAUAUAAGCGUUACCUGGAGAAUCCUGCUCAUUUUCAGACUGGAUAUAGCUGGGAUUUUACAAUGCGUCCCUGUGCGUUUGCAGCCCGUCCUUGCUUCCGAUUGAUUUGGCUUUUAGAGCGGGACUGAGCCAAACCCCUGGAACCUGGCUGACAUCUAUCUGGAGUGCUUCACGCGCCUCUGUGGGACAGCUGAAGUCGGGGAAAACAUCAUGCCUACACUGCCCAAUCUGAACAGCCUGGGGAGACUGUGCAGCUCCAGCCGCAGCCACAAUGUUGACCGUGUGCGGGUGAAACGCAAGGGCUCCAUCAAGCGCAUGUCCAUCAUUGAGGACGGUCAUGUGGCGGAGGUCCUGUACCUUAUACCUAAACAGUAUAUGCAGCAGCUGCCCUACCUCGACCCAAACGACUAUUACCUGAGCGAGAGGCUGCAUGACGUUGCUGCAGUGGCUCAUGCGCAGGACACGCACCACCACUCCACAGAGAAGCCCCUGAUCCAGUGCUGUAAGUGCGGGCAGCCAUGUAAGGGCGAGGUGCUGCGGGUGCAGAACAAACACUUCCAUCUAAAGUGUUUCACAUGUAAAGUGUGCGGGUGUGACCUGGCCCAGGGGGGCUUCUUCAUGAAGAAUGGAGAGUAUCUGUGCACGCUGGACUACCAACGCAUGCAUGGUACCCGCUGCAAUGGAUGCGGGGACUUUGUGGAGGGGGAAGUGGUCACUGCGUUGGGAAAGACAUAUCACCCGGCCUGCUUUGUCUGCACUAUCUGCAAACGGCCCUUCCCCGCCGGAGACAGGGUGACCUUUAAUGGGAAGGACUGUUUGUGUCAAUACUGCCUUGAACCUAUGUCUCCAGGACCAAAAGACAUCCUGGGCUCCAGCAAUUGUGCAGGGUGUGGCCGAGACAUUAAGAACGGACAGGCCCUCUUAGCGUUGGACAAACAGUGGCAUCUGGGCUGCUUCAAGUGUAAGGCCUGCUGCAAAGUGUUAACUGGAGAGUACAUAAGCAAGGAUGGUGCUCCCUACUGUGAGAAGGACUACCAGAUUCACUUUGGAGUGCAGUGCGAGGCGUGUCAUCAGUUCAUCACCGGCAAAGUGCUCGAGGCAGGAGAUAAGCAUUACCACCCCAGCUGUGCCAGAUGUAGCAGGUGCAAUCAGAUGUUCACCGAAGGAGAAGAGAUGUACCUGCAAGGAUCAACCGUGUGGCAUCCUGGCUGCAAGAACACGACGAGAACAGAGGAAAGACACAGGGAGAGGCUGUUGCCACCGUCCCUCUUAUUCCUUCAAAAAACAGAAAGGCAGCCUACAAGGUCGUCAUCUGAGAGUAUUUCUUCCAGACCUGGUUCAAGCAUACCUGGCUCACCGGGUCACACAAUCUAUGCAAAAGUAGACAAUGAGAUUCUUGAUUACAGAGACCUAGCUGCCAUUCCAAAAGUCAAAGCCAUUUAUGACAUUGAGCGCCCUGAUCUUAUUACCUAUGAACCUAUGUACACCACCUCCCUGGAGGAGAGAGAGGAGAGACGAGAGAGUGUAGGAGAGCUCCUUAAUGCCAGACGGGAGCGUUCGCCCUUGCCUGAUGACAAGUCUUUCAGAACCAUGUCACCCACCCUAUCCAAUGAGGGAUGUUAUGACAAGCGAGAACGCACCCUCCAAAGGUCCACCAGUCAGGGAUCUAUAGGCUCGCCAGUUUAUAAUCGCCAUGGUUACACACCCACCCUGUCACGGUCCCCGCAGCAUUUUCACAGACCAGAGGCUCUGACAGGCAUGCAGAAACUCUGCUCCUCCCUGUGCAGUAACAGUGUGGGCUCCAGAAAUAAUGACUCCCGCCCCACCUCCCCUUUCAGACACCACUUCCUGCCCCAUACCCAAGGCACUGACCCACCAAGCGGCCGGAGCUCCCCUCUCCCGCUCAGGCCCGACAGCCGGCCGGGCACCCCGCCUCUCUCUCAGACCCCUAAACAUUUUCACCUUCCAGAUCAGGGCAGUAACAUCUACAGGAAACCACCGAUCUACAAACAAUACGAUACAGCUGCCAUAGCACGUCAAAGCAAGUCGGCUGAUGACAUCAUCAGAUCUGCCACCUUCCCUGCUGCCCAUGCUCCCUCUCCAGACGACAUCUCACAGAAUGAGGGUUCAGAAGGAAGAAGACGAUCAAGAGAAGAAGAGGAGGAAGAGACCUUGAAACGAAAGCAGCUUCAGGAAGAACAUCUCAACAAGAUUCAGUCUGGUUUGGGAAAGCUAAUUCUGAGGGAGGAGAUGGAAAAAGAUCAGACGAGGGAACGCCACGCAAGGAGUCUCUCUGCUCAGCGCUACGAACCCAAGCAGAAUAAUGGCGAUGCAGAUCCAACUUCUCCAACCAAAACAAACUCUUUGCCUGGCUAUGGAAGGAACGGCCUACACCGGCCCCAGUCAACAGAUUUCACCCACUACAACAGCUAUGGUGACAUGUGUGGAGGAGGCAGAGAGUUUCAGGUAUGUCCCUCAUCUGCUUUUUCUCAUGGCAUGCUUCCUCACCUCGAGCCACACGUUUGCUUGCAGUAGGCACCUUGCCUUGUAUGCACACUGUCCACUUGUGCUACACGCUUGCAUUGUUACCGGACGUGCUGCUGUUGUAUGUCAUCUAGAUGUCACCUACGGGGCAUGCAGUCAUUUCAAAUGCACUGCCCAGUAGCGGAGCAACUGUACUCUUAUGUGCAACGUGCAAGCCUCACUUCAUGUGUUGUUUUGUUUGUCUGUAUACCAAUGUCAUGACCCAAGCUAAAUGUCAGAUUGACAAAUAUAAUUUCCAAAUUCACCUCAGGGACACAUAAACAUACACUUUAACAACAGCUGUCCAUCUUAAACACUGACUCCUGAGCAGUAGUCAAUCUCCUUGCUCCAUCCAGUGAAAAGUGUGCCCGCUGUCAUAAAAGGGCGACAUACUCAUACCAUUAACCCUGCAGUCCCCUCCCAAUAUAUUAUAUUUGUGUAUGUUCUAUUCUUUAGCACAUUAAGGAUGGCCGUGCAGCACUUGCAAGGAUGGACAGGGGAGUAUCUAUGCCUAAUAUGUUGGAGCCCAAAGCAAGUAUCUUCCUCUUUUUGUACUGAUGGCAACUGAUGUGAACUACACUAUAUGCACAAAAGUAUUGAGACACUACUUUGUCAGUUAGUUUGUCAGUCAGGGGUUGGACGUCGCCCCUUCAUUUCAAGAAUCCUCACCUGGUUUUUCAACAUAUUCCCCAAAAAGUCAUCUGAAAUGAAAGAAGCUUAAAAUGUAGAUCUAUGGUGCAAAACACUUUAACAAUUAAAACUAGUGAGUUUUUCAGGAAAUAUAAACAAACUACAAUCACACAAACCAAAAAGGAAAUAUGCCAAAGUCCAGAUUGACAGGGAUGGAGGCCAAUAACUGUGCAUGUUGUUGCAAUCAGUCGCUCUAAACGUGUGUGUGUGCUAUAUAAAAACAUGGCAUAGUGGAAAACAGGAUCAAACAGUGGUGAAUGCUUAUCGUCCUAAUCUGACGUAACAUGUCUACCUGCGUUCUUAUACGAAAUCAGUCUCCAUGAGUACAUUUUUGGAUGUGUCCUUUGUUUCGCGCGUUGUUAUGCCAUGAGGGUCUUAGUAUGUGUAAACAAAAUAAUUCAUUUUCCGACACUUUGUGACAAAAAAUGUCACACUUUUAGACUCUCGCAAUUUUAGACUCUCCAGUGAAUCUAAGAUGCAUGUUUUGGAAUGUGGGAGGAAACCAGAGUACCAGAAAACCCAAACAGACAGGGAGAUAACAUGCAAACUUCACAAUGAGAUAUAAAACAAUAAAUUGGAAAUAUUGCACUAUGUUAUGCAGUUUAGGAAACAUGCAAAAUUUCCCAUAUAUAAUAUAACCAGAGCACUGUUCAAAUGAGGAAUAAAGUGGAGAAUAGGAUUUGUUACGCUUUACGAGUGAAGUGUGCUACCCCAGAAUAUAAUGACAAGAUGUCCAGGUUCAUUUCCCCCUAAAAUCUUGCCUACUUUGGGGUCCCAAUACUUAUGUUCAUAUAUUGUAUACUACAAUAUGUACAGCGAGUCUACACUAACAACACCUAAGAAAGACAAUUCCGGAAAACUGUCUUAAAAACAACAGUUUGACAUAAUGAGGUUCAUACCUCAUACACUAUAAUCUCAAAUUGAAAGACUUCCAGAUUUAGCAUGCUGCUUCAGGAGCUGCAGUCACUCUAAUGCUUAGCAUGCUGGCUUCUUCAUGUUCAUCUGCACAUAGCUGUGACUUCCACUGGAUACUGUAUGCGGCAUACAGGGAAGAAUCCAAAUUCCCAUCCCAACCACUCAUAUCCCUAUAUACUGUCGUGCGGUGGUUCUCAACUGGUUUGGCUACGGGACUCACCGUCCAGUCUUAGUGACAAGCGUUGACCCAAAAUGUGGAAGUUUUACAACUCAAAUUUCUCCAAUGUCUUAUAUUUAUAUCCACAAACUCAACAUUAUUUUACCAAUAAGUGUUUAUAAAGGUUUUCUAUUUUGCUCUCGCUAAUGUUUGGUCGCUACUUGCUAGCUCGGCAGACAGAUAAGAGACAGAUUUCAGAGCCUUCAUUUAAACAAAUGUGCUAGCUCAAUGCUAAUUUACAUUGAAAAUCCCAUUUACACGCUAGCGAUUAAACAGGACCUAUUAUGCUCAUUUUUCGACCCUUUAAUAUUGAGUUUUGGUCUCCUGUAGAGCAGCUACACACAAUAACCAGCACAGAAAACUUUUGAGAUUUUCCAGAAUCUGCACCUAUUCCAGCUGUAUUUCCUUCGAUUUGUGCUUCCUACCACAACUGUAUGUUUUAAUUUAGUCCACCCACGACCCGCCUCCGGGCAGGCCCACUCAGCUGUGCUUGGUCACACGCCCAAAGUGCUCAGUUAGGGAUGGCUCGAAACACUGUGACAUCACACAGGGACAGUUUUUCCACGCCCUUUAAAAACCAAGCAUUUCGAGCCAUCCCAAACUUCUUUCAGGGCUGACCUCCAAAUGUGCAAACCUCAUUAUCUGAAAAUUUGGCAUCGUUUAACACGAGAAUACAACAUUCUAACUACAUUUAGCAUUAGCGAUUUUACAUGGCUAGUUCGAACACCUCCCAAUAUGACAAUUAAAUAAAUCAAUAACUAAGUAACAUCGUAAAAUACAUUCAGGCAAGCCCUUUCUAAGGGUCAGCAAGAGACAGGACUGACACAUUCAACUUGCAGACUACGCGUGAAUUUGAAGAAUUUGGAGAGUAUUACCAUAAUAGAUCGGGGUGGACUGGGACAAACAUUUAGCACUGGACCCCCCCAUUACGACCCUUCUCUAGUUUAUAAAAAAAUAAAAUAAAAUACUGUCCAGGGUUGGCAUCAAACCGUACCUUUAGGGAUCAGAAUGUACCAUUACAACCUACAUAGACAAACUUGAAGCGUCAAGCACACAACAGUAGACUGUAGCGAUGCGCAUCCUUUGCAGAAAAUCCCUCAUGGGUCGUGGGAACCUACGCACAGUGGCGGGAGGUUUGACUGUGCCACCAUGCCACCAGACCCCGGGUCAGGGAGAUUUAGUUACCAUAUUUAUCAAGACAAGGCACUGCAAUAAAUAAAUGAACAUCCAUCAAUUGGGCAACUCCAGAUAGCCAGUUCCCUAAGUGACACUCCACAGCAUAAAAACAAAUCCCCAUUGAGAACCCGACCCACCAGUUGAGAAUCACUGCUGUAUAAGGGAGCUUACCCUACUGUCCUACUGUGCGGAUGUGAGAGUUUGUCAAACGCUUACUUAUUGAAGCAAGUGACCAGAAUUCUUGCUUAUGGUUUAUUUAUUCAGAUAAGCAAAGGCACCCCAGUUUUUCAGGGCAGUCGUUACCGAUUUUUGGUUCUUACGUAACCAUUACCCUGUCCUUUUCUCAAUCUAUUGCACGUUAAAGAGUAUGACUACCACAGCAUUUUCUCAACAAACUAAAUGAUUGCUUUCACUCUCAGUCAGCCUCCUGUCACAUACCUGUUCUCCUUCCCAGUGUUUCCCUCUGCCACAAUUCUGAGCACAUCUCGAUAGAGUUGAUGUCAUUUUGUCACAUACAAAAUGAUGAGUCGGGUGUGUGACCCUGUGCACUGAUGAGUGUCUCCUUCUUAAGGUAUAUCCCUAUGAAAUGCUCAUGAUAACCAGUAGAGGGAGAGCUAAACUGCCCAGGGAUGUGGACAGAACCAGACUGGAGCGCCACUUAGCACCUGAAACGUUCUUUGACAUCUUUGGAAUGGAGAUCCAGGAGUUUGACAGGCUUCCCCUGUGGAA